UCAUGUCCCUCAACAUUUCUCUUUCAUUAAUCCUAAUUAUAUGUUCUUUUACUUUUUAAAUUGACGUAUACACUUGAUAUUGAUAUAUAUAUAUAUAUUCAUAGAUUUUUAGGGUUAAGAAAAUAUGGCACAAAUGGCAAGAACAGAUGAAAAGUUACCACAAUAUGAUCAAGAUAUGCAAGAUAUUCAUGUAAAUAAAGCACAAGGUGGUCAGAUAAAUCAUGAUCAACUAUGUGAUUACCUACAUGAUCAGCAGCUGCAGCCCAAAGAUGGCGCCCAACUUGAAGGCAAAAUUGUUGCACUUUCCUUGUCACCAAGACAGGCGCAAAAUCAUCCCAUGCACAAGUGAUAUAUCACUUUGUUAUAAAUAAAUAACAGGCGUUGAUUUUUCGGAUGAUCACUCAAGUAAUAAUUAGAGUUGAGGGUCAAAAACACACCUAUAAUAUCUCUUCUAUUGCUUCAUAUCGAAACUAUCAAGUGUGUGAAUUUUCCACCUGAACUAUCACCAAAUGUUUAGCUAAACACACCUCAACUAUCAUUUGUUCACUUUUUCUAUAUGAAAUUUCGAGUAUGAAACUCAAACAAUUGAUAGUUCAGGUGUGUUUCAAUAAAAUAUAGUGAUAGUUCAUAUCGAAAACUCACACACCUGAUAGUUCAAGUAUGAAAGUAAAAAAGUUGGGAAAACAUUAGGUGCAUCUUUUACCUUUUACUCUAAUAAUUAUUAUCUCAGAAAAGUCAUAUUUUUCUUGAUUAUUCCAAUAAAAAUAUUAAAAUGACUUUCUGAAAUAAAAACUGUUAACUGAGUGAUCAUUUGAGAAAGCCCGAGUCUAAAUGAAAUAGAGAAAGUUAGAUAGGUGAAAAUAUAAAUUUUCACUAUAGAUAAUUAGUUUAUCUUGUUCGAAUAGAAAUAUUAAGUUAAUUAGUUCGCGUACUGCAAUGGCGUACACAAGAUUUCGCUAAGCAGUAUCGGCCUAUUAUCACAAUUUGUAUGUGACUUUAAGGUUUAUGGAAUUAUGGUAACUUUAGUGUAUUACUUUAUUAUUAAUGUUAUUUUAAAGUGGUGCUGGCA
Molecule: long non-coding RNA, 1069 nt
Organism: Capsicum annuum
Lineage: Eukaryota; Viridiplantae; Streptophyta; Magnoliopsida; Solanales; Solanaceae
Exons: 2
Source: RefSeq, a predicted model, not a curated record